UUACAGAACUUCUUUCCUGUUACAGUAUUUUAGUAACUGUAUUGAGGACAUAAGCAUGACCCUGGGAAUAAAAUUCUAUGGUUAACCUCCUUACUGUGGGGAUGACCAGAGUUUGGAGGAACUGCAGCCCUCCCUCUCUCUUGCUGUGGAGGACACCUUCUUUAAACAAUGAGUGAAGAGAGAAGUGGAGUUGAGACUAUCCUGCAGGCAUUUCCUUUAUACAAGUUCUAUUCUGAAGCCAACCGAUGUAAGAAGUAAAAUGUGGGUUUCUUCUUGGAAGAAAACAA
This 287-nucleotide long non-coding RNA is filed under the name Dromaius novaehollandiae (emu). RNAcentral's name for it is "lncRNA (ENSDNVG00000002832.1)". Lineage: Eukaryota; Metazoa; Chordata; Aves; Casuariiformes; Dromaiidae. The record is from RNAcentral.